AUUGAACGCUGGCGGCAUGCCUUACACAUGCAAGUCGAACGGUAACAGGUCUUCGGAUGCUGACGAGUGGCGAACGGGUGAGUAAUACAUCGGAACGUGCCUAGUAGUGGGGGAUAACUACUCGAAAGAGUGGCUAAUACCGCAUGAGAUCUACGGAUGAAAGCAGGGGAUCGCAAGACCUUGUGCUACUAGAGCGGCCGAUGGCAGCUUAGGUAGUUGGUGGGAUAAAAGCUUACCAAGCCGACGAUCUGUAGCUGGUCUGAGCGGACGAUCCGCCACACUGGAACUGAGACACGGCCCAGACUCCUGCGGGAGGCAGCAGUGGUGAAUUUUGGACAAUGAGCGAAAGCCGAAUCUACCAAUGCCGCGUACAGGAUGAAGGCCUUCGGGUUGUAAACUGCUUUUGUACGGAACGAAAAGCCCUGAGUUAAUACCCUGGGGUCAUGACGGUACCGUAAGAAUAAGCACCGGCUAACUACGUGCCAGCCGCCGCGGUAA
RNAcentral lists this ribosomal RNA (498 nucleotides) under uncultured bacterium. Its description in RNAcentral is "partial 16S ribosomal RNA". It matches the Rfam family "Bacterial small subunit ribosomal RNA", at positions 30 to 523 of the family's 1533-position model. The record is from RNAcentral.